This is a long non-coding RNA of Ceratina calcarata, 569 nucleotides long. RefSeq lists it as uncharacterized. NCBI's taxonomy places the organism in Eukaryota, Metazoa, Arthropoda, Insecta, Hymenoptera, Apidae. The transcript is spliced from 2 exons. The record is from RefSeq and is a predicted model, not a curated record.
AAUUUGCAUUAUAGUAUGAUCAUUUUCUUCACGCGCGGUAUGUGGUAAGGAACGAGUAGUGCCGUGGACAUUUAACCGAGGGUAGGGUACAGUAGCUCUGUUGCAACGUCGCCUAAUUUAUGACGCCUUCAAGUGUGUCCGCAGGCACUUUUCCUACUCGUAACUCGCCUCUGGCCUCGCAAUGAUUUUGUUCAACGAGCAUUUUCGACAUUUAGGAAUUUCGAUUCCCUUAUGUCUUGUACUAUGUAAAUAUUAAGCCUAUUUACGAGAAAGAUUGAUGUAUCAAUUAUUAAAAAACUAAAUAUCUAUAGUCUCGUUCCGUCGUGUCGUUUUUAAAAACAUGAGAGGCUCGUCGAUCUAAAAAAAUUUAAUUUCGGUAGUUCAAAGAAAUAUGCAUUCAAAAAUAAUGACUUUGGCCAUGCAUUGAAUCAGACCUUUAAAUUCGAGGUCGACUCUUUUGACCGUUUGACCGUCGAUGCUCGACGAACUACGUUUACCUCACAUCUGUUCGGUCACUUCGUCAAACGGUGCUUGAAUUCAUUAAAAGAAAAAUGCCACCUUCCUAUGUA